CCUACGGGGGGCAGCAGUGGGGGAUAUUGCACAAUGGGGGGAACCCUGAUGCAGCGACGCCGCGUGAAGGAAGAAGUAUCUCGGUAUGUAAACUUCUAUCAGCAGGGAAGAAAAUGACGGUACCUGGCUAAGAAGCCCCGGCUAACUACGUGCCAGCAGCCGCGGUAAUACGUAGGGGGCAAGCGUUAUCCGGAUUUACUGGGUGUAAAGGGAGCGUAGACGGCGAUGCAAGUCUGAAGUGAAAGCCCGGGGCUCAACCCCGGGACUGCUUUGGAAACUGUAUGGCUGGAGUGCUGGAGAGGCAA
RNAcentral lists this ribosomal RNA (305 nucleotides) under uncultured bacterium. RNAcentral's name for it is "bacterial SSU rRNA". It matches the Rfam family "Bacterial small subunit ribosomal RNA", at positions 338 to 660 of the family's 1533-position model. The record is from RNAcentral.